This 253-nucleotide ribosomal RNA is filed under the name uncultured bacterium. RNAcentral's name for it is "partial 16S ribosomal RNA". It matches the Rfam family "Bacterial small subunit ribosomal RNA", at positions 524 to 776 of the family's 1533-position model. The record is from RNAcentral.
UACGAAGGGGGCUAGCGGUGUUCGGAAUUACUGGGCGUAAAGCGCACGUAGGCGGAUUAGUAAGUCAGGGGUGAAAUACCGGGGCUCAACCUCGGAACUGCCUUUGAUACUGCUGAUCUCGAGUCCGGAAGAGGUGAGUGGAAUUCCUAGUGUAGAGGUGAAAUUCGUAGAUAUUAGGAAGAACACCAGUGGCGAAGGCGGCUCACUGGUCCGGUACUGACGCUGAGGGGCGAAAGCGUGGGGAGCAAACAGG